GCAACCUGCCCAAAAGAGGGGGAUAACACUUGGGAACAGGUGCUAAUACCGCAUAACCAUAGUUACCGCAUGGUAACUAUGUAAAAGGUGGCUAUGCUACCGCUUUUGGAUGGGCCCGCGACGCAUUAGCUAGUUGGUGGGGUAAAGGCUUACCAAGGCAAUGAUGCGUAGCCGAACUGAGAGGUUGAUCGGCCACAUUGGGACUGAGACACGGCCCAAACUCCUACGGGAGGCAGCAGUAGGGAAUCUUCCACAAUGGGCGAAAGCCUGAUGGAGCAACGCCGCGUGGGUGAAGAAGGUCUUCGGAUCGUAAAACCCUGUUGUUAGAGAAGAAAGUGCGUGAGAGUAACUGUUCACGUUUCGACGGUAUCUAACCAGAAAGCCACGGCUAACUACGUGCCAGCAGCCGCGGUAAUACGUAGGUGGCAAGCGUUAUCCGGAUUUAUUGGGCGUAAAGAGAACGCAGGCGGUCUUUUAAGUCUGAUGUGAAAGCCUUCGGCUUAACCGGAGUAGUGCAUUGGAAACUGGGAGACUUGAGUGCAGAAGAGGAGAGUGGAACUCCAUGUGUAGCGGUGAAAUGCGUAGAUAUAUGGAAGAACACCAGUGGCGAAAGCGGCUCUCUGGUCUGUAACUGACGCUGAGGUUCGAAAGCGUGGGUAGCAAACAGGAUUAGA
RNAcentral lists this ribosomal RNA (674 nucleotides) under uncultured bacterium. Its description in RNAcentral is "bacterial SSU rRNA". It matches the Rfam family "Bacterial small subunit ribosomal RNA", at positions 121 to 782 of the family's 1533-position model. The record is from RNAcentral.